CCUACGGGUGGCAGCAGUGGGGAAUAUUGGGCAAUGGGCGCAAGCCUGACCCAGCAACGCCGCGUGAAUGAUGAAGGUCUUCGGAUUGUAAAGUUCUUUUCUAAGGGAAGAAGAAAGUGACGGUACCUUAGGAAUAAGCCUCGGCUAACUACGUGCCAGCAGCCGCAGUAAUACGUAGGAGGCAAGCGUUAUCCGGAAUGACUGGGCGUAAAGGGUGCGUAGGUGGUUUGGCAAGUUAGUAGCGUAACUCCGGAGCUCAACUUCGGAACUACUACUAAAACUGUCGGACUUGAGUGCAGGAGGGGCAACUGGAAUUCCUAGUGUAGCGGUGGAAUGCGUAGAUAUUAGGAGGAACACCAGUGGCGAAGGCGAGUUGCUGGACUGUAACUGACACUGAGGCACGAAAGCGUGGGGAGCAAACAGGAUUAGAUACCCUU
Molecule: ribosomal RNA, 437 nt
Filed under: uncultured bacterium
Lineage: Bacteria
Description: bacterial SSU rRNA
Rfam family: Bacterial small subunit ribosomal RNA
Source: RNAcentral